RNAcentral lists this ribosomal RNA (248 nucleotides) under uncultured bacterium. Its description in RNAcentral is "partial 16S ribosomal RNA". It matches the Rfam family "Bacterial small subunit ribosomal RNA", at positions 529 to 776 of the family's 1533-position model. The record is from RNAcentral.
AGGGUGCAAGCGUUGUCCGGAAUUAUUGGGCGUAAAGAGCUCGUAGGCGGUCUGUCGCGUCUGCUGUGAAAACUCAGGGCUUAACCCUGAGCUUGCAGUGGGUACGGGCAGACUAGAGUGCGGUAGGGGAGACUGGAAUUCCUGGUGUAGCGGUGAAAUGCGCAGAUAUCUGGAGGAACACCGGUGGCGAAGGCGGCAUCCUGGACCGACACUGACGCUGAGGAGCGAAAGCCAGGGGAGCGAACGGG